This 467-nucleotide ribosomal RNA is filed under the name uncultured bacterium. Its description in RNAcentral is "partial 16S ribosomal RNA". It matches the Rfam family "Bacterial small subunit ribosomal RNA", at positions 28 to 506 of the family's 1533-position model. The record is from RNAcentral.
GACGAACGCUGGCGGCGUGCUUAACACAUGCAAGUCGAACGGAAAGGCCCUGCUUUUGUGGGGUGCUCGAGUGGCGAACGGGUGAGUAACAAGUGAGUAACCUGCCCUUGACUUUGGGAUAACUUCAGGAAACUGGGGCUAAUACCGGAUAGGAGCUCCUGCUGCAUGGUGGGGGUUGGAAAGUUUCGGCGGUUGGGGAUGGACUCGCGGCUUAUCAGCUUGUUGGUGGGGUAGUGGCUUACCAAGGCUUUGACGGGUAGCCGGCCUGAGAGGGUGACCGGCCCAUUUGGACUUGAGAUACGGCCCGGACCCCGACGGGGGGCAGAAGGGGGGAAUAUUGGACAAGGGGCGGAAGCGUGAUGCAGCAACGCCGCUGGGGGGAGGACGGCCUUCGGUUUGUAAACCGCUUUGGCCUGUGAGGAGGCGGGGUGGGCGGUAAUGGGUAAGGGAGCCCCGGCUAAUUAGGU